CCGGCGGGGGCGGUGGCGGGCGGCCGAGCUGCUCGGGGCUCGACGGCGCUGCCCAUGGGGGAGUGCGGGGUGGCCCCCCAGGUCCAGCUCUUUCUCCGCGCCUGCGAACAGGGCGACUGCGAGACCGCUCGGCGCCUCUUGGGGCUGCCCGGCAGCGGCCCCGCCGACCCGGCGGCCCCUUCCUCCUCCUGCUGCUCCGGCGGUACCGAGGAGGCGGCCGUGGCGGCGGAGCCCCGCGGUGAAGCGCCCGCCCCGCCGUCCCCCGCCGUGCCCGUGGACUGCACCGACGAGGCCGGCAACACGGGGCUGCAGUUCGCCGCGGCGGGGGGCCACGAGCAGCUGGUGCGGUUCCUGCUGCGGAAGGGGGCCUCCGUACAGAGCAGGAACCACUACGGAUGGAGCCCCCUCAUGCAAGCGGCCAGAUUUGGACAUCUAAGCGUUGCUCACAUCUUGCUGGAGAAUGGUGCUGAUCUCAAUGCUCAAAAUAAGUUAGGAGCCAGUGUUCUCACAAUGGCCUCCAGAGGUGGCCAUGUCAGCAUGGUGAAAUUCUUGCUGGAAUCUGGAGCUUUUGUGGACAAUUAUGACCAUUUUAGCACAAGUGUACUUAACAGCAGCAGAGAUGAUCUUCCUGAUAUCACUCCUCUCAUGGCAGCUGCUCAGCAUGGACAUGAGGCAGUGGUACAUCUUUUAUUAGACUGGGGAGCUGAUUGUAAUUAUUCUGUGAAGACUAUGGGCUGGAGUCCUUUAAUGCUGGCAGCUGUUACUGGAAAGGUGAGCUUGGCACAGCAGCUCAUGGAGAAGGGUGCUAAUCCUGAUCACCUGAAUGUACUACAUAAAACACCUUUUGAAAUCUCUGUUGGCUUCAAACACAGAGACAUGAAGGACUACUUGGAAUCUCUCACAACAGUCAGGCCCCAGGCAGAUACAGAAAAGAGGCAACCUGAUGUCUUUCAUGCUUUAAAAUUGGGAAACUUCCAGCUGGUUAAAGAGAUUGUUGAUGAAGACCCAAGUCAGGUCAACAUUACCAAUGUUGAUGGUGCAUCUCCAUUAAUGAUUGCAGCUGUAACUGGACAGCUGCCCCUUGUUCAGCUCCUUGUUGAAAAAAAUGCUGAUAUUGACAAACAGGAUAAUGUUCAUGGCUGGACAGCACUAAUGCAGGCCACAUACCAUGGAAACAAAGAUGUUGUGAAGUAUUUGUUAAAUCAAGGAGCUGAUGUCAAUCUUCGUGCAAAAAAUGGAUAUACAGCUUUUGACCUGAUAAUGCUCCUGAAUGAUCCAGACACAGAGCUUGUACGGUUACUGGCAUCAGCAUGUAUGCAAGGUGACAAAGACAAGAAUAAACUGAACAACAGAUCAUCUUUGCCUUGUUCCAGAAGUAGACAAUCCUUAAAUGUCCCAAUAUUGCCAGAUGACAAAGGAGGUCUAAAGUCCUGGUGGAGCAGGAUGUCCAAUCGAUUCCGCAAGCUGAAGUUGACUCAGACAUUGCGCCAUGGAUUUCCUUCCAAUCAGUUUGUGCCUUUUCCUGAUGAACCUGAACCAUCAUUAAAUUCCACUAUAAAAGCAGUUUCGCAAAGUGAUGUGGACACCUCUGGAAACGCUGAUGCUGCUACAGCUCGGAUUACAAAUAACAAAGCUAGUGGGGUAAGCACUGCAAAAGGAGGAAAGGAUGAUGAAUUAUUGACAACCAUGUUAAGAAGUAGUGCUCCAUUUACCAGACUGCCCAGCGAUAAACUGAAAGCAGUGAUACCCCCUUUCUUACCACCCUCAAGUUUUGAGCUUUGGAAUUCUGACCGGACACAAAUCAGCAAAGAUGGCAAAACUGAACUGAUGAGAACUGCCUGGCCACAGAGAGCGAUCAAGCACGAUUUUAACAGCAGUGGGAACUCUGAUAUAACAUCUGUUAGCAAAGGUACUAGACCAGUCAAAUUACCAGCGUUUGCAAGAAGACCUGCGUCUCCUUCAAAUUCCAACAACUUCAACCAUUCUCCCCAUUCAUCUGGUGGAUCUAAUAACAUUUCGGGAAUUAACAGACAUGGAGGAGAAUUGCACAACAGAUCGGGUGGCAGUGCAGAUAAUGUUUUGUCCCAGAUUGCAGCCCAAAGAAGAAAAGCAGCAGGCUUACCUGAACAGAAACCAAGCCAACAGCAUAGUCCAGUCCAGUCAACUCCUUCAUCCACUCUGUCUGAUUUGCAGUGUGCUCAAACUGUUGGCAAUGGACAUGUUGUAAAGCAGAAACUGGAGAUGAACAAAAGACCUCCAUCUGGGACUUCAUCGACAUCUAAAAGCACAUCACCAACUCUCACACCUUCCCCAUCACCUUCCCCAUCUCCUAAGGUUCACAAUGCAGAGUCCUCUCUUUCUCCUUCUCACAGACAGGCCAAGAGCAAUGGUUCCAGCAGUGGUACUAUUACAGAAGAUGGCAACCACUUGUUGGACCAUCAACAGCUUGUCCCUAAUCUGAGAACCAGUGAUGUAGACAAUCAUGAACGACGAAACCAUGUGAGAGUAAAAGGAAGCGCUGAAAACUUGGAGAAAGAUGAGCUGACUGGCAUCCUUAAAAAAUUGUCACUUGAGAAGUAUCAGCCUAUUUUUGAGGAACAAGAGGUCGAUAUGGAAGCCUUCCUUACACUUACUGAUGGUGAUCUGAAAGAGCUGGGUAUUAAAACUGAUGGAUCAAGGCAGCAAAUCUUGGCAGCUAUUUCUGAACUGAAUGCAGGAAAGGGUCGAGAGAGACAGAUUUUACAAGAAACUAUACACAACUUCCACUCUUCCUUUGAGAGUAGUGUUAGUAACACACGACCUGCAGGCCAUUCCCAGUGUACUACUAGGUGAGCAAAAGCUGCUGUUUGGGACCUGGUGACGUGGUGCAAUGAACUGGAAUUGACUCAAGAACUGAAGGAGCAUACAGAUGUAACAUGUCUCUAAGCAACUUGCUAACCACUGAGCGUAAAAGUGUCUUGAUGACAGCAAAAGAUGGUAAUGAUGGUGGAGAGCUGGGGAGAACAUCCUUUUCUAAGAAUGGAGGCAACAGUUACUCCAGCUGACAGGAUGCUGCAAGGAGACUGCCAUCAGAUAUCUAGCUUUUGGGCUUCUCUGUGUGACAGCUCCAUGAAAUAGAUUUGGCUGCUGAACAGCAAGAGAAGCACUAACAGAGAAGGAAGAUGAAGAGAACAUUUAGAUAAAAGAAAUUUCCAAACCAGCACCUGGCUGCUCUAUAAAACCACAAGAAGCUGUCUCUCCUAAAAGGUAGCUACUGGAAAAAAAGAUGGGUUUUUUUUCUGCUGGUGAAGUAAAUCCAAGAAUUUGAAAAUUUAGUCCAAACUACAUCUUCAUAGGACUAUCUAAUGUUUUGAAACUUGAAUCCCACCAAGAAUCAAAGGAAGUAAAAAAGAGAUUGCUUUUAUGGUCCAGCCCAAGUAUUGAAUUGUUCAAGGCGUCAGUGGUCUGGAUUUUAGAACAAAGUCAGAAGAGCAUGAAGAAUGGUGACCAUACAAAAUGAUUCAUUUUUUUCAUUCUACUCUUGCCAUAGAUGAAGAACCCAUAUGAGGCUUACAUGGGCACAAUAGGAACAACAGAAGUGAGAAAGAAAGCAUGAAAACCACCAUGAGUUAUGAGAGCCUCCACAUGGAGAAAUACAUAAACUGAAUAUGCCUCUGUUGGCCUGAUACAGAUAAAGGAGUCCAAACUGAAAAUGUAAUGGAUUUGUGAGAAGGAACAUGAAGGAAAAGUAAUGCUGCAUUCUUCAUUAACCAAAGUACACUUUAUCUAUUCAAUAUUAAGAGGUUAGAACAGCAGUAAAAGUAAAUAUGAAGUACCUAUUUGUAAAAUUAGCACUUUAUUUAAGGAAAUGCAUAAUCUGUCACGAAUAUUUAAACAGAAAUAGUGUUAAAAAUUUUUAUAUUGCUGAUCAGUUGUUUUGAGAAUAAAACCAUUUAACUGAUA
Molecule: RNA transcript, 3942 nt
Organism: Apus apus (common swift)
Lineage: Eukaryota; Metazoa; Chordata; Aves; Apodiformes; Apodidae
Gene: ANKS6
Gene name: ankyrin repeat and sterile alpha motif domain containing 6
Exons: 18
Source: RefSeq, a predicted model, not a curated record